Molecule: long non-coding RNA, 975 nt
Filed under: Equus caballus (horse)
Lineage: Eukaryota; Metazoa; Chordata; Mammalia; Perissodactyla; Equidae
Description: lncRNA (ENSECAG00000049357.1)
Source: RNAcentral
UCAGAGGCCAAUAUCAGCUGUCAAAAUCCCACAUUCCCCUCUCUCCCCUCUUUCAAGUGCAAAACAACCUGCGUCUGAAGAUGUGCCCGAGAUAAAAGGGCACACACAGCGCUGGGGGCUUUGACUCCGUCCUAUUCACGGCCCCACCACCAUGAAUACGGCAAAACCUCCAAUGAAAGUUUUAAUCUCCCCACUGCAUUCAGCUUAAAGAGAAAGGGCUUCCUUUUAACAAUUUCCCCCCUUAAACCUUUUGUGUUGCAAUGCUCCUGAAAACAGCGGAGAUUUCACUCCGACCCGGCGAGGGCUUUACGCCAAAGAAAGCAACGCACCUCCAAGCCUUUGUGCGGGCAUAAGAAGGGCCGACCGGCCCGAGCCCACGGCGCAGCAGCCGCAACCCCAGGGGCGCGCGGGGGCAGACGGUGCCCGCGGCACUGCAGACGCCCGGCUCAGGUUUCUCCACCGAUGGACCUAAUGGGACGGGAGUGAUCACGCCGUGGGCCCCAUGGCUCUCCAAACCGAGGAGUCUGGGCUGGGAGUGCGACAAGGGUGGACGACUUCCCAGCCAGGCCGCUGGUCUGAAACGCACCAAGCCGCACACCAGGAGGCCUAAUCAGGCCCUCUGCCUUCAGGCUGCGCUCAAAGGAAGGAAAAAGAACAACUCUACUCCACGUUCAGCCCUCUCCCAGUCAUCCUCUGGGCGGAACCUCGGACGGGGAAUCUUCACAAGACCCCGGUUAAUUGCGGAGAAGCAGAUUUGGCUGCCUACCCGCCGUUCCCAAGAGGACCUGGAGGAAGGCCGAGCGAUGUUUCGGUGUUUGCCUUCAAAUUUACUCCUUUUGCACGUAAUUAAUGCUACCAGAGUGCUCCUAACAAGAAACGCACCCCCACCCCCAGCUCUUCUAGCAUAAAAGAAAAAGUUUAAUAAUUAUGCCGUUCCCUUCUUUAUAUCCUCCGAAGAGCUGCCCUAAAUGUUCG